Molecule: transfer RNA, 72 nt
Filed under: Ovis aries (sheep)
Lineage: Eukaryota; Metazoa; Chordata; Mammalia; Artiodactyla; Bovidae
Rfam family: tRNA
About the family: Transfer RNA (tRNA) molecules are approximately 80 nucleotides in length. Their secondary structure includes four short double-helical elements and three loops (D, anti-codon, and T loops). Further hydrogen bonds mediate the characteristic L-shaped molecular structure. tRNAs have two regions of fundamental functional importance: the anti-codon, which is responsible for specific mRNA codon recognition, and the 3' end, to which the tRNAs corresponding amino acid is attached (by aminoacyl-tRNA synthetases). tRNAs cope with the degeneracy of the genetic code in two manners: having more than one tRNA (with a specific anti-codon) for a particular amino acid; and 'wobble' base-pairing, i.e. permitting non-standard base-pairing at the 3rd anti-codon position.
Source: Rfam by way of RNAcentral
UCCCUGGUAGCUCAGAUGGUAAAGAAUCUGCCUGCAAUGUAGGAGACCCAGGUUCGAUUCCUGGGUUGUGAA